RNAcentral lists this long non-coding RNA (315 nucleotides) under Gossypium barbadense (sea-island cotton). RNAcentral describes it as "long non-coding RNA (GBAR_LNC009966)". The record is from RNAcentral. Lineage: Eukaryota; Viridiplantae; Streptophyta; Magnoliopsida; Malvales; Malvaceae.
ACAAAUUCCACAACCCCAAAACCUGCCCCCUCUAUGACCACUACGAAUCGUGUGGCCAGCCCCAAAGCGUCAACAAUACCAACAGUCAAACCUGCCAUGCAGUCUCCAGUUCAAUCGACAAAGAUCAAAGCGCCAACUGCUCCACCACCUUCACCUUUGACUCUCCCACCUCCCCAGUUGAGAGGUCAAGCUGAGCUUGAACCCAAGAUCCCUGCUGAGGCAGAGCAAAAGACUGUGCUCGUUCAAAAGAUGAUUGAAAAGCCCAGGGGGCUUUUUGGUGCCCCUGAAAAGGAUGUUGGUGACAUUCGCGACCCC